GUCAGUAUUAGUUGCUUCUAAAGAGCCUUUUUGGACUUAUUGUCUCGUUCAAUUCAUUUUUGUGGUCUUUAUGAAGUUUAUUUGUGUAAUCUCUUCAUAGUUUGAUUUGGGUGUGCUAUUCUGUUUUUGGGUACAUUUGUUUGCUAACACUUCUUAACUUGCUUUGUUCUGGAAAUAGGAUGGGUCCAAAAUGACUAUUGA
This 201-nucleotide unclassified non-coding RNA is filed under the name Hevea brasiliensis (rubber tree). Lineage: Eukaryota; Viridiplantae; Streptophyta; Magnoliopsida; Malpighiales; Euphorbiaceae. The record is from RNAcentral.